This 301-nucleotide ribosomal RNA is filed under the name uncultured bacterium. RNAcentral's name for it is "partial 16S ribosomal RNA". It matches the Rfam family "Bacterial small subunit ribosomal RNA", at positions 509 to 807 of the family's 1533-position model. The record is from RNAcentral.
CAGCCGCCACGGUAAUACGGAGGGUGCAAGCGUUAAUCGGAAUUACUGGGCGUAAAGCGCACGCAGGCGGUUUGUUAAGUCAGAUGUGAAAUCCCCGAGCUUAACUUGGGAACUGCGUUUGAAACUGGCAAGCUAGAGUCUUGUAGAGGGGGGUAGAAUUCCAGGUGUAGCGGUGAAAUGCGUAGAGAUCUGGAGGAAUACCGGUGGCGAAGGCGGCCCCCUGGACAAAGACUGACGCUCAGGUGCGAAAGCGUGGGGAGCAAACAGGAUUAGAUACCCCUGUAGUCCCUGUCUCUUAUAC